GCCAGACUCCUACGGGAGGCAGCAGUGGGGGAUAUUGCACAAUGGGGGAAACCCUGAUGCAGCGACGCCGCGUGUGGGAAGACGGUCCUCUGGAUUGUAAACCACUGUCCCCAGGGACGAAGAUGACGGUACCUGGGGAGGAAGCUCCGGCUAACUACGUGCCAGCAGCCGCGGUAAUACGUAGGGAGCGAGCGUUAUCCGGAUUUACUGGGUGUAAAGGGCGAGUAGGCGGGAUUGCAAGUCAGAUGUGAAAACUAGGGGCUCAACCGAUAGAGUGCAUUUGAAACUGCAGUUCUUGAGUGAUGGAGAGGCAGGCGGAAUUCCCGGUGUAGCGGUGGAAUGCGUAGAUAUCGGGAGGAACACCAGUGGCGAAGGCGGCCUGCUGGACAUUAACUGACGCUGAGGCGCGAAAGCGUGGGGAGCAAACAGGAUUAGAUACCCGCGUA
This 446-nucleotide ribosomal RNA is filed under the name uncultured bacterium. Its description in RNAcentral is "bacterial SSU rRNA". It matches the Rfam family "Bacterial small subunit ribosomal RNA", at positions 330 to 792 of the family's 1533-position model. The record is from RNAcentral.